AACGAACACUGGCGGCAUGCCUAACACAUGCAAGUCGAACGAUGCCUUCGGGCAUAGUGGCGCACGGGUGCGUAACGCGUGGGAAUCUGCCUUUCGGUUCGGAAUAACUCAGGGAAACUUGAGCUAAUACCGGAUAACGUCGCAAGACCAAAGAUUUAUCACCGAAAGAUGAGCCCGCGUAGGAUUAGCUAGUUGGUGAGGUAAAGGCUCACCAAGGCGACGAUCCUUAGCUGGUCUGAGAGGAUGAUCAGCCACACUGGGACUGAGACACGGCCCAGACUCCUACGGGAGGCAGCAGUGGGGAAUAUUGGACAAUGGGCGAAAGCCUGAUCCAGCAAUGCCGCGUGAGUGAUGAAGGCCUUAGGGUUGUAAAGCUCUUUUACCCGGGAAGAUAAUGACGGUACCGGGAGAAUAAGCCCCGGCUAACUCCGUG
Molecule: ribosomal RNA, 433 nt
Filed under: uncultured bacterium
Lineage: Bacteria
Description: partial 16S ribosomal RNA
Rfam family: Bacterial small subunit ribosomal RNA
Source: RNAcentral